GAUGAAGAACGUAGCGAAAUGCGAUACUUGGUGUGAAUUGCAGAAUCCCGUGAACCAUCGAGUCUUUGAACGCAAGUUGCGCCCGAAGCCACUAGGCCGAGGGCACGCCUGCCUGGGCGUCACACGUCGUUGCCCCCCCCCCAUCUACUCCUUCGGGAUUGCGGGGGGCGGAUGAUGGCCUCCCGUGCGCCUAGCCGCGCGGUUGGCAUAAAUACCAAGUCCUCGGCGACGCACGCCACGACAAUCGGUGGUUGCGAAACCUCGGUUGCCCGUCGUGUGCGUUCGUCGCGCAUCGAGGGCUCGAAAAAAUGCUCGGCUCCGGCUCGGCUUUCAACGCGACCCCAGGUCAGGCGGGGUUACCCGCUGAAUUUAAGCAUAUCAAUAAGCGGAUGA
Molecule: unclassified non-coding RNA, 393 nt
Filed under: soil metagenome
Description: partial contains 5.8S ribosomal RNA, internal transcribed spacer 2, and large subunit ribosomal RNA
Rfam family: 5.8S ribosomal RNA (bases 1-122)
Source: RNAcentral